RNAcentral lists this long non-coding RNA (1932 nucleotides) under Triticum aestivum (bread wheat). RNAcentral's name for it is "long non-coding RNA (TAES_LNC005901)". Lineage: Eukaryota; Viridiplantae; Streptophyta; Magnoliopsida; Poales; Poaceae. The record is from RNAcentral.
UUAGCAAAAAAAUGGUUCUGUUGUACAAAAAACAGUGUCACAAAAAAUCUCCCAAAAAAGCUACUUUAGCUUACUUUCACAUGGCCUAUUUACAUUUCUAAUAACUAAGACAAUGUGGCAAUGAGUAAGAAAAUAGGAGAAUAAAGUUAUAACCAGAUUGAAAACAAACCUCUACAGCUUGCAUAUACACCAACGGAAGGUAGUAAAAAAAUGAGGGCAUUCAGCAAGCACAAUCCAAAAUUAGAACUGCACCAGGUGCAUGACCAAUAACAGUUAUAAUGGGCCAGUGGCGAGAAAUUGCCAACACAACAGAUCAGUCGAGAUCAACAUAGGAAAUCAAGAGAAAAUAUUAAGCAAAGGCAAUGUCAAAACAAAUAAGCAUGCUCCAAGCAAAGUUGAGUGACGCUGGCCUUGGAAGUGAAGAAAAAAUGAUUUUCCUAGAGAAGAUAUCUCGAUUCAGUCAAGAUUUAUAAAAAGAAUUAUAUAACAUCUGUAGCUAACAUGCAUUGUUACAAUAGUACACAUCUACAAUGACCAAAAGGGUUUAUUUUUGUAUAUGGAAAUAAUCAGUAAGGUGAGAUUAGUGAACCAACAGAAUGCAACUCACUCAUAAUUAUUUUAAAAAAGAAUAACAAAAUGUGAUCCUCCUUUGGUUAGUGUGUACACACUACACAGAGCUAUGAACAAGGGCUUGAAAAUUAUUAAGUAAAACAAGCACUCGUCAUAACUGUUCUUUCCAAAUCCCCUCACAAGCACAUGUUCUCCAUAGUUCAUUGAAUGUAGAUAGAAUUCAUUAUUAGUUUCUACUAUCACUUAUAACACAUAUAAUAUGGCAGACACUGAACAAUUUUACCAUCAACUUUUUUAUUGUGUUCAUUUGUGUUUGAUACAAUCAAAUUUGAUCUUCUACAUUGAAGAUUAAAGAUGCCAAAGGCUGAUACCAUGCUAGUCUUAAAGAAAAGACGAUUCAGUCAUAAGCGCAACAUAGGUUACAUGGGCAUCUCGAGAAAUGAUUUGAGGAAAAUUCUGUUUCUGGAGAGAUGUUAUUUUCCUUUUAGUUGCGUUCUUAUAAUAUCUUAUUGGAGUAUAGGGGUAUCCAUGCACUUGUUCAGGGCUGCCGAAUGGUCCAUGGAGAGUUUUAUAGAAGCUUUCAAAAGUAUGAAUGUUUAAGAAAAGCCGACAAUUGAAAAUGGAAAUCCAGCUCACAAGGUUUUAUACUUAUAAAUUGAUUUACAUGUUGAUUCUUCAAAUUGUUGAGAGCAUCAUACUCUAAAAUAGAGAGAACAUAUAGGCACGCCCAAGGAUUCAAAUCAUGUUUGGUACAAAUGUCUUAGGAUGCUUAUCCCCCAGUUACCAUUAUAGUCGGUAAAUAUAAUUGUAGUGGUCAAGUUUUCAAUUGUUCUCUUUGCAAGUCCAAACUUCCAGCAACACAUAACAGCAAAAAGAGCCUGUGAGAGUUAAAAAUAGACUGGAAUUAAAGGUAGAAUCUUAUGUUAGAUUUACCGACAAGUAAUCUCACACACGUGCCUACUAUUUUGUUAGCCAAGCAAAACAUAUUCCAAUAAACCAAGAACAAUAGAGAAGCCCUUGGCUAGAUCAACUAACCAUCACGUAAAGAAAAUGUAAAGGAAGAUACCUGAAGAACAUGGCUUGAACUGAACAAUGAGCAAAUCUUGAGUAGGAGAACAAAGAAGCUGCAACCUUCUAGAUCUGACAACAAGCAGAAUGAAAGUAGAGGAACUUGUUAGAGCAUAAGCAUGUCAGCAGACAGUUUACAGACAAGGAAAAGAUUAGUUCAUUUACCCAAGAUUAAAGCCCAAAACGGAUGAGAAAAGCAGCCAAGAUUAAUGGAACAUCUAAAAUAUAGGCACCAAGCCACCAAGCCACCAAGCCAGACAUGAGUAGCCACCUGAUAUCAGCCUCCAAAGCGAC